GUCUUUUAGAAUUUAAUUUAAAGUUUGACCUGCCCAAUGAGGUAUUUAAUGGCUGCAGUAUUUUGACUGUACUAAGGUAGCAUAAUCAUUAGUUUUUUAAUUGAAAGCUGGAAUGAAAGGUUAGACGAAAAAAUAGCUGUCUCUUAAUAAUUUAUAUUGAAUUUUAUUUUUAAGUUAAAAAGCUUAAAUAAAAUUAAAAGACGAGAAGACCCUAUAGAGUUUUAUAUUAUUUUUUUUUGUGAAAUUAUUAGAAUCUUUAGUUUACUUUUCAAAUUAGUAUUUAAUUGGGGUGAUUAAAAAAUUUAUUAAACUUUUUUUUUAUAAAAUCAUUUAUUUAUGAUUAAUUGAUCCAUAGUUUUAUGAUUACAAGAAUAAAUUACCUUAGGGAUAACAGCGUAAUUUUUUUUAGAGUUCUUAUCGAAAAAGAAGAUUGCGACCUCGAUGUUGGAUUAAAAUUAAUUUUUGGUGAAGAAGCUGGAAUAUUAGGGUCUGUUCGACCUUUGAAAUUUUACAUGAUCUGAGUUUAGACCGGCGUGAGCCAGGUUGGUUUCUAUCUUUAAUAAAAUUUAAUAUUUUAGUACGAAAGGACCAAAUAUUAGUAAUAUUUAUUAAAAAUUGAAUAAAAUUA
Molecule: ribosomal RNA, 628 nt
Filed under: Myllaena audax
Lineage: Eukaryota; Metazoa; Arthropoda; Insecta; Coleoptera; Staphylinidae
Description: partial 16S ribosomal RNA
Rfam family: Bacterial large subunit ribosomal RNA
Source: RNAcentral